RNAcentral lists this transfer RNA (65 nucleotides) under Paraahimia luodianensis. Its description in RNAcentral is "tRNA-Ile". Lineage: Eukaryota; Metazoa; Arthropoda; Insecta; Hemiptera; Cicadellidae. The record is from RNAcentral.
AAUGAUAUGCCUGAAUAAGGGAUUAUUUUGAUAGAAUAAAUUAUGUAGAAAUUCUACUUUCAUUG